Mastomys coucha (southern multimammate mouse) is the source of this 319-nucleotide long non-coding RNA. RefSeq lists it as uncharacterized. The transcript has 2 exons. The record is from RefSeq and is a predicted model, not a curated record. NCBI's taxonomy places the organism in Eukaryota, Metazoa, Chordata, Mammalia, Rodentia, Muridae.
CUGAACAUGAACCCAGAUAAACCCAGAGAACAGAGUCAUAUCCAAGAGAGACUAUCAAGGAAAAUCAAGACAAAUUGAAAUACAGAGUUGGGUACCCCAGUUCCAGUGGAUACAUUUACAAAAAUACUCCAUCACCUAUGUCUCGUGGACCAUUGCAAAGGUAUGAGAAGAAUCUGGAAGUUUUCUGUGAGAUUCUCCUAGGUAUGUUGGAAGCUGCACUCAUAAAGACUCACCAACAUGACUGCUGAAACACGAGAUGAACAAGGUUAACACCUAUACACAUGUUAAAAAGAAUGAGUAAAACCCAUAAUUUUAUUAA